GUCUAUGGCCAUGCCACCCUGAAUGCACCCAACCUUAUCUGAUCUCAGAAGCUAAGCAAGGUCGGUCCUAGUUAGUACUGGGAUAGGAGAUCACCUAGGAAUACCAGGCGCUGUAGACG
Pteropus vampyrus (large flying fox) is the source of this 119-nucleotide ribosomal RNA. The record is from Ensembl. NCBI's taxonomy places the organism in Eukaryota, Metazoa, Chordata, Mammalia, Chiroptera, Pteropodidae.